GAGGCUGAGCCCAGUGACGCGGCGGUGACGUCACGGCCACACGGCGGGAACGUGACGUCACCGCCACCCGUCAUGGCGGCGCCCUGUGUGGUGCCCUGAGUGUGUCCGCUCCUCGCCCCGCACGCCGCGCCGCUCCGCACCAUGAGGAGGGGCCGCAUAGAGCUCGGGGAUGUGACACCCCACAACAUCAAGCAGCUGAAGCUUCUCAACCAGGUGGUGUUCCCCGUCAGCUACAAUGACAAGUUCUACAAAGACGUGCUGGAGGCAGGGGAGCUGGCCAAGCUGGCCUACUACAAUGACAUGGUAGUGGGAGGCGUGUGCUGCCGCGUGGACAUGCAGGAGGGCCAGCGGCGCCUCUACAUCAUGACGCUGGGCUGCCUGGCGCCCUACAGACGCCUGGGCAUUGGCACCAAGAUGCUGGAGCAUGUACUCAACUUUGUGGAGAAGGAGGGCAACUUCAACUCCAUCUUCCUACACGUGCAGGUCAACAAUGACGGGGCGUUGGACUUUUACAAGAAGUUCGGCUUUGAGGUGGUGGAGACCAAGCAACACUACUACAAGAGGAUCGAACCCGCUGACGCCCACGUCCUCCAGAAAACACUCGUGCGCUCCUGAGUGUCUGUCCUGGCCACCACUGCACCACCACCACCACCACCCAGGACUAUGGUGCCACUCCUCCAGGUCUUGUACCUCGACCCAAUGUGAUUAUGUUCGUGUUCAUAUUCCACUCAAGUUUCCCCGAGCCGCUGUUUCCCUGAUGCGAGUAGCGACUUUAAUGGUCUGCACGAAGGUGGGACUUGCCAGGCUGCUUCAGUGUAGGCAGCAGCACUGGGCUUGUUGGUCCUUCUCAGACUUAGGGACUAGUAAGCACAGUUCUGCCCCUCAUAGAAAUAAGUCUCAUGUUCCCCACUGGUGCACACAUCCUAGUAGUGUUUGUAUGACUGAGUGGCAGUGGUGGUGGUGGUGGUGGAGAGUCAUCACCCCUCCUUCCACACCACCACCAUCAAGGAUGUUGCUGAUGGAUCCACUGCAGUGUAUUCCAGCAAGUUGAGAAUACAUCAUGCAUACCAACAUACAUACAUACAUGCAUACCUUAGCCGUGAUUUUUGUACAUACAUCGUGUGUGUGCGUGUGUGUGUGUUUGUGUGUGCGUGUGUGUGUGCGUGCCUGUGUUGGUGUAUGUAUGUAGUUAGUUAAUCAUUUGUACAUAUAUGCAUACACUAACACACUCAUGCACUAACCAGUACCACUAUUAUGCAAAUAAAUGGAUUAACUGUUACUGGGCACGGAGGAAAGUCUUGAUCCGGGCCACUGUUUUGUUUGUGGGUCUACAGGGACGGGUGGCCGGCCUGGCAGCCUCGUGCUCAGCGGCGCCAACGCUCCACCGAUGGGAGGCUGUUUGGGUCACAGUUGAGUGUUGUUUUAUUUGUAGGAAGGAAAGGGAGUUACAGGGACUGAUUUUUUGCAUGGCAGGUUUUAUGUUUGAUGAUGUUUAUGGCCCACUGAAGGAGAUUUUUGUGUCUAAAGGGCCGUCACACUGGGCAAAGUUGAUGAGCAGUGAGCUUGGCUGGCGGGCAUUUGCCUGCUGGAUGUCCUGCUCAAGAGGUGUGGCAGCCAUUUUGGGGUUUUUGGUUGGGUUGUCUAGAUUGGGAAUGGCUCAGUCAACAUUUAGAAUGAUACAUUUAUUGAAUGCAGAUGCAUAUAAUAUUGUACUUGUAACUCACUCCAAGAACAAUGUUUUUGGUUAAAGUCAUAUUUGUUUUCUAUUUGUUGACUGCAGUCUCAGUAAAGACAAGCCAUGGUUCCCUUUACAACCAAGAGUAAUGCAAGCAUAUGAGUCCUGUGGAACUCCAGUGCCAUACCGUGUCAUGGCAAGGGUGAGGGACCAGGGUGGAAGGAAGCGUCACCCUUCAUCCCUCAAGGGUGUUGUAGGCACCUCUGGGUGUCCGCUCUCAGCAGCCAGGACUGAACCCUCACACAUUUGAGGCAUCCACAGAAGGGGUGUGAGGGACAAAGCCAUUUUCUUCUAGUUUGCACUGGGAAAGGCAGGCCAGGCCACACAUCCCAGGAAGAACAAGAAACAGAUUGCAAGGGAAAAGUGACCUUGUAUCUGGUGUACUGAGGGUUACUUUUCCCUUGCAACUUCUACCUUGUUCUUCUUGAGAUGUGUAGCCUGGCCUGCCUUUCCCAGUGUAUAACAGAAAAAUAUGGCUUUGCCCCCCAAGCUCCUCCUCCUCCGGACUCCUCAUUUGCCCUCCACAGGUCCUGCAGGCCAAGGCAGGGUUGCAGCAGCUGCUUGCCUCACUGCAGGUACUAGAGUGGAGGGAAGAGAUGCCAUGGUGAGGACUUUCUUUACAUCUGUCUUUGCUUGGCACUCGUGGUUCAUCAAAGUGUGAGGACACGGUAGACCUGCUUGAGCCUGUAGCUUGUCAAAUUUUGCCAAGUGUGAUGCUGCCUAAAGUAUAGAUUAUUUGAGUCCCAGUUGCAUGUGUUUGUGCACUGAUGGAACACUGGCAUGCAAGGGAGGGGCAGGAUGAACAGCUUUUAGCAUUGUUGUUAUCUGAGCUUCUAUUCUUUGUUUUGAAUAGUUUUGUGUUUUGUCCAUCACCUGAUGCCAUCAUCAAGCUGUGUGUUGCCAGCUGGACCUGUGUUUGUUGUUCUGUGAUGACUCGGAGCAAAGGAACCAAAGAACUGGAGAAAAGAAAUCAAGGCAAGGUAGAUUAUUCAGCACUGUUGUAAGCUUGAAUCUUGCACAGGACAAACAGGUGCUUGGUGGAAUACACAGAAAGAAAUUGUAAUUGGAAUUAAAAAAAAAAAUGUGUUGGAAGUUGAUGUAAUUGUAAUGGAGAAUAAAAAGCUUAAGGAAAGUUUCAUAAUACAA
Eriocheir sinensis (Chinese mitten crab) is the source of this 2881-nucleotide RNA transcript. It is a transcript of the gene named probable N-acetyltransferase san, with no coding region annotated. Lineage: Eukaryota; Metazoa; Arthropoda; Malacostraca; Decapoda; Varunidae. The record is from RefSeq and is a predicted model, not a curated record. The transcript has 5 exons.